AAUAUAGAUCAAGUAAAUCCUAUCACCAAAUGAUACGAAAUAUAAGUAAUCUAAAAUGUGGUUCAAAUUGAAAAGUAACAAAAAAUUAUACCAGAGCGCAAGAUGUGGGAGGAUCCUUUUGCAGAUCCUUGAGUUCCUUCAAAAUACACUUUGAAGCCAUAACUCUUCAAGGGAUUAUUAAAAUUAAAGCUACAACGAACCUUAAGACCUGCAAAACUGUAAACAAAUCCAUAUACAACUUCUUAAUUAGACUAGCCAAGCUUGUAAAACCACAAAUUAUUUGAUCUACUGCAUUUGAAUCAAAAAGUUUAAAUCAAAAUUUCGAAAAUACUAAAAACAUAACGACACAAAUUGACCUUGCGUGGCAGAGAACAGGAUCGUAGGGCAAUAGCGUCGAGAAAGUGAAACGGUGAAGCAGAUCUACGUCGUCAAGCCGCCCCUGCCUCGCUCCUCUAACAACCCCUUGCUUUGUUCUUCAACACAAAUAUCGUCGAAAAAGAACGUUCGGUGUUACAAUGGAUUCACAUAAGCGAAAACAAACAAGCUAACCCUAAAUAGCGUGAACAAAUCAAAUCUUGAAAUUAUGAAAACACAAUCGAAAUCACGGCAUAAUUGAUUCACAUGAGCGACGACAAACAACAUGCAAACAAUAAAUUGGACCUGAGGAGUGGCUAAGAGGCCGGGAUGGUAGAGAGACUUUUGUUGAAGAAUCGCUUGCUGCACCAGUGCUUGUUGCUGCUGUCGAUGCUGCUUCAACCUCUGGUACUGCAUUUUCCUUCAGAAUCGAAGGAUUUGUAAACUGUUUGUCGAAGGAUUUGUAAACUGUUUGGUUCCUGAGAAAAUUUCGUUAAGGUUUCUCGAGAAAAUGAAAGAAAAGAAAAAAAACGAAGAAAAUGAGAGAGUGACGAGAGAAGCAGCUGUGUAUGACUGUUUUCGUUUAACACUUAGGAAAAAAAAGGAAGAAAGAAAGUUUAAA
Molecule: long non-coding RNA, 976 nt
Filed under: Citrus sinensis (sweet orange)
Lineage: Eukaryota; Viridiplantae; Streptophyta; Magnoliopsida; Sapindales; Rutaceae
Description: long non-coding RNA (CSIN_LNC003582)
Source: RNAcentral